AUUGAACGCUGGCGGCAGGCCUAACACAUGCAAGUCGAGGGGUAGCAGGAUUAAGCUUGCUUAAUUGCUGACGACCGGCGCACGGGUGCGUAACGCGUAUGCAACCUACCUUAUACUGGGGUAUAGCCCGGAGAAAUUCGGAUUAAUCCCCCAUAGUACUAAUGAAUCGCAUGGUUUAUUAGUUAAAGCAUUGCGGUAUAAGAUGGGCAUGCGUCCUAUUAGCUAGAUGGUGAGGUAACGGCUCACCAUGGCUACGAUAGGUAGGGGGCCUGGGAGGGUGGUCCCCCACACUGGUACUGAGACACGGACCAGACUCCUACGGGAGGCAGCAGUGAGGAAUAUUGGUCAAUGGGCGCAAGCCUGAACCAGCCAUGCCGCGUGCAGGAAGAAUGCCCUAUGGGUUGUAAACUGCUUUUAUUUGGGAAUAAACCUCUUUACGUGUAGAGAGCUGAAGGUACCAAAUGAGUAAGCACCGGCUAACUCCGUGCCAGCCGCCGCUGUAA
This 503-nucleotide ribosomal RNA is filed under the name uncultured bacterium. RNAcentral describes it as "partial 16S ribosomal RNA". It matches the Rfam family "Bacterial small subunit ribosomal RNA", at positions 30 to 523 of the family's 1533-position model. The record is from RNAcentral.